Molecule: long non-coding RNA, 218 nt
Filed under: Mytilus galloprovincialis (Mediterranean mussel)
Lineage: Eukaryota; Metazoa; Mollusca; Bivalvia; Mytilida; Mytilidae
Source: RNAcentral
GUUCGAAGUCAAAAUACGUUAAAAGAAUUUAUAAGAUAAAAACAAAUAGCCCGAUGAUCGCUCUUCUAAGGUGUAAAGAAAAAAAAGAGAAGAAGGAGACAAGUCAUUCGGGUAUUAUUGAAAUGAUAUUGAACAGAUAAAUCAUGUGAUGGAGAGGUAUUUGCGAAAAGUACCAGUCUAGGGACUUUGAAAUUUCCAGAGCCGCAAUGCGAUGGAAA